RNAcentral lists this ribosomal RNA (476 nucleotides) under uncultured anaerobic ammonium-oxidizing bacterium. Its description in RNAcentral is "bacterial SSU rRNA". It matches the Rfam family "Bacterial small subunit ribosomal RNA", at positions 364 to 832 of the family's 1533-position model. The record is from RNAcentral.
UUUCGCAAUGCCCGAAAGGGUGACAAUGCGACGCCGCGUGAGUGAGGAAGGCCUUCGGGUUGUAAAGCUCUGUCAGCAGGGAUGAACGCAAGGGGGUGAAUACCCCUCUUGUCUGACGGUACCUGCAGAGGAAGCUUCGGCUAACUCCGUGCCAGCAGCCGCGGUAAUACGGAGGAAGCAAGCGUUGUUCGGAUUUACUGGGUGUAAAGGUCAUGUAGGCGUCUUACUAAGUCGGAUGUGAAAUCCCUUAGCUUAACUAAGGAACUGCAUUCGAUACUGGUAGGAUUGAGUACGAGAGAGGUAAGCGGAAUUCCGGAAGUAUGGGUGAAAUCAGUAGAUAUCCGGAAGAACACCAUUAGCGAAGGCGGCUUACUGGCUCGAUACUGACGCUGAAAUGAGAAAGCUAGGGUAGCAAACAGGAUUAGAUACCCUGGUAGUCCUAGCUGUAAACGAUGGGCACUAAGUAGAGGGGUUUU